This 139-nucleotide small RNA is filed under the name Bariatricus massiliensis. RNAcentral's name for it is "Clostridiales-1 RNA". It matches the Rfam family "Clostridiales-1 RNA". The record is from RNAcentral. Lineage: Bacteria; Bacillati; Bacillota; Clostridia; Lachnospirales; Lachnospiraceae.
AAGGGUCAAAAGGUCAUGCGAAUGUGUGCUAGCAUGUAUUCGUGUGAACUUGGGAGCCGCAAAACAUGAGAAGGCAGCCCGAAAGGGCGGAAUUUGAAUGUUAUAGGAUUUCGUGAGCACGGAGUGCGGAGAAAUCCUU